UCGUGCUAGGUGGGGAGCUAGCGGUUCCCUGUACCCGCAAUCCGCUAUAGCGGGACGGAAUUCCCGUCCGAGACGCCAUCUUUCAGGGUCAGGCCGGCGUGCGUGGGCGACGACGGCCGGGUCCUGCGCAACGAGAUCUGACCAAACCCGCCAGGUCCGGAAGGAAGCAACGGUACGUCAGUGCUCUCGUGUGCCGCAGGGACACCUGGUCUGAGCCGGCGGCGUCGACACCGCCUGGAGGAUGACCGCCGACGAUGGGUGCACGG
Molecule: signal recognition particle RNA, 266 nt
Filed under: Gemmatimonadota bacterium
Lineage: Bacteria; Pseudomonadati; Gemmatimonadota
Also listed under: 1 other name
Description: Gemmatimonadetes bacterium (groundwater metagenome) signal recognition particle sRNA large type
Rfam family: Bacterial large signal recognition particle RNA
About the family: The signal recognition particle (SRP) is a universally conserved ribonucleoprotein involved in the co-translational targeting of proteins to membranes.
Source: RNAcentral